RNAcentral lists this ribosomal RNA (253 nucleotides) under uncultured bacterium. RNAcentral describes it as "partial 16S ribosomal RNA". It matches the Rfam family "Bacterial small subunit ribosomal RNA", at positions 524 to 776 of the family's 1533-position model. The record is from RNAcentral.
UACGUAGGGGGCAAGCGUUGUCCGGACUCAUUGGGCGUAAAGAGCGUGUAGGCGGCCAGAUAAGUCCGCUGUGAAAUCUCGAGGCUCAACUUCGAGCUGUCGGUGGAAACUGUCUGGCUAGAGUCCGGAAGAGGAGAAUGGAAUUCCUGGUGUAGCGGUGAAAUGCGCAGAUAUCAGGAAGAACACCCGUGGCGAAGGCGGUUCUCUGGGACGGUACUGACGCUGAGACGCGAAAGCGUGGGGAGCGAACAGG